CCUGCAUCCAAACAGGUAUGCACAUCAGGUGGCCAACACAAGCAACGGCCACAGAGCCAACAGCAUCCACUCUUACAAAGAAAAAUCAAAGAAAAGGAAAAAAAAAUCUUACAAAGAUCCAGUCCAUUUUAACUAAACCUUCUGUUUAGUUUUGUGAAAUUAAACCACUGUGUUAAGAAGUACUACCAGAGCCUGGUUACCAUUCUGGGAGCCAGAGUCAUGAAGGAGGAAGGUGCCAAACACCUCUCACAGUGUAAAACAGCACAGCUCAAGCUGGAGAAGGACUUCACAGAAAUUCAGAGCCAAGGCAAGCUUAAUUCUCUACAUGCACAGCAUGCAAGAGAGUACCUGCUCCCUGACAAAGGACAAGGAAGAGGACAUCUCAUAUCCAUUGAUAAACAGAAACUACUGCAAAUAUAAAAAGACAAUUCUGGGAGAAGGUGUCAAGAAAUCUAAUGGGUUAACAACGUUCAGGACAUUUAAUCUUCAGCUGUGCCUUGUUUGUGCCAGCUGGAAUGGUAUAAGUCAUAAAAAG
This 535-nucleotide long non-coding RNA is filed under the name Bos indicus x Bos taurus (hybrid cattle). RNAcentral's name for it is "lncRNA (ENSBIXG00005024050.1)". Lineage: Eukaryota; Metazoa; Chordata; Mammalia; Artiodactyla; Bovidae. The record is from RNAcentral.